GUUAAGAAUCUUGCGCAAUGGGCGAAAGCCUGACGCAGCGACGCCGCGUGGACGAUAAAGGCCUUCGGGUUGUAAAGUCCAAUAAGCAGAGAAGAAUAAAUUCAGUAUAAUACACUGAAUGAUGACGGUAUCUGUCUAAAGCCCCGGCUAACUACGUGCCAGCAGCCGCGGUAAUACGUAUGGGGCGAGCGUUGUUCGGAAUUAUUGGGCGUAAAGGGUGUCUAGGCGGGGGAUUAAGUUAGUUGUGAAAUCCAGAGGCUCAACCUCUGAAUUGCUUCUAAAACUGAUUCUCUUGAGUUAGGGAGAGGAGAGCGGAAUUCCAGGUGUAGCGGUGAAAUGCGUAGAUAUCUGGAAGAACACCAGUGGCGAAGGCGGCUCUCUGGCCUAUGACUGACGCUGAAGCACGAAAGCGUGGGGAGCGAACGGGAUUAGAAACCCUGGUAGUCC
Molecule: ribosomal RNA, 447 nt
Filed under: uncultured bacterium
Lineage: Bacteria
Description: bacterial SSU rRNA
Rfam family: Bacterial small subunit ribosomal RNA
Source: RNAcentral